AUCCUUUUGUAGUUCAUAAGUGUGAUGAUUGGGUGUUCAUGCGUCUCUGUGAUAUGUGCCACCCUGUAAACCUUGUUACGACCUCAGCACAUUACCUGUCUAACA
Lontra canadensis (Northern American river otter) is the source of this 105-nucleotide small nucleolar RNA. RefSeq annotates it as small nucleolar RNA U13. The transcript has a single exon. The record is from RefSeq and is a predicted model, not a curated record. Lineage: Eukaryota; Metazoa; Chordata; Mammalia; Carnivora; Mustelidae.